RNAcentral lists this ribosomal RNA (279 nucleotides) under uncultured bacterium. Its description in RNAcentral is "partial 16S ribosomal RNA". It matches the Rfam family "Bacterial small subunit ribosomal RNA", at positions 506 to 784 of the family's 1533-position model. The record is from RNAcentral.
UGCCAGCCGCCGCGGUAAUACGGAGGGGGUUAGCGUUGUUCGGAAUUACUGGGCGUAAAGCGCACGUAGGCGGAUUGGAAAGUUGGGGGUGAAAUCCCGGGGCUCAACCCCGGAACUGCCUCCAAAACUAUCAGUCUAGAGUUCGAGAGAGGUGAGUGGAACUCCGAGUGUAGAGGUGAAAUUCGUAGAUAUUCGGAGGAACACCAGUGGCGAAGGCGGCUCACUGGCUCGAUACUGACGCUGAGAUGCGAAAGCGUGAAAAGCAAACAGGAUUAGAUA